This 492-nucleotide ribosomal RNA is filed under the name uncultured bacterium. RNAcentral describes it as "bacterial SSU rRNA". It matches the Rfam family "Bacterial small subunit ribosomal RNA", at positions 34 to 518 of the family's 1533-position model. The record is from RNAcentral.
CGCUAGCUACAGGCUUAACACAUGCAAGUCAGGGGCAGCAUGAGAUCAGCUUGCUAAUCUUGAUGGCGACCGGCGCACGGGUGAGUAACGCGUAUCCAACCUUCCCCCUGCUCAGGGAUAGCCCGCUGAAAGGCGGAUUAACACCUGAUAGCUUCACUAGAUGGCAUCUGACGGUGAAUAAAGAUAACGGCAAGGGAUGGGGAUGCGUCUGAUUAGCUUGUUGGCGGGUAACGGCCCACCAAGGCGACGAUCAGUAGGGGUUCUGAGAGGAAGGUCCCCCACAUUGGAACUGAGACACGGUCCAAACUCCUACGGGAGGCAGCAGUGAGGAAUAUUGGUCAAUGGGCGGAAGCCUGAACCAGCCAAAGUAGCGUGCAGGAAGACGGCCCUAUGGGUUGUAAACUGCUUUUGUACGGGAAUAAAGUCAGGGACGUGUCCCUGUUUGCAUGUACCGUAAGAAUAAGGACCGGCUAAUUCCGUGCCAGCCGCCGC